UCUUGACUUUUGUUCUUCUGGUUUUUCAUCCCCCGCGUCAUAGUAAUACUCUGUUUCUGUGCGAGCUCGAUGAUUUCUGGAGGCUGUGGGUGUUUUCCCCUAAAGAUCCAUGAGUUCCUAGCCUUCCAGAUCUGCCAAAGAAUUAGCCCGAUGAACACCCGUACAGGUACCUCCCUUUUUUCUUGAAAAACCUCCACUAGCCAUUGAUCUAUUCGCUUUAUGUUUCUC
RNAcentral lists this long non-coding RNA (228 nucleotides) under Eucalyptus grandis. RNAcentral describes it as "long non-coding RNA (EGRA_LNC006340)". Lineage: Eukaryota; Viridiplantae; Streptophyta; Magnoliopsida; Myrtales; Myrtaceae. The record is from RNAcentral.